UUGAUAAAUGGAGGGCGAAAUCACGGAGAGUAGGAGGAAUUCCCGACGAGAGGCGCUGCUACUAUGGAAAAUCGCGAAUGGUGUGUGGUGUGUGUUUUUCGCGAUUUGGAAGAUGAGGGGCUGCUAUAACAGUCUGUAAAAACCCGCCAUUGGGGUUGGCGUUUUUUAUGUAAACCCGCCAAUGUAGUUGGCGUUUCUGUACUUAAAGACGCCAACUUCGAAGGCGUCUUUUAGAAAAUACGCAAUUUCCGUCGGUGUUUUUUAUUUCAUAAACACGCCUUCGCAAUUGGCGUUUUUAGGUAGUAAACGCCAACACAAUUGGCGUGUUUUAACGUAACUGUAAUGGGAGACAAUACGGGCAAAAUACGAGACAUUAUAAAACGCCAUCUUAGUUGGCGUUUUCACUAAAACAAAACGCCAAUGAGGUUGGCGUGUUUCCUAUAACUGGAAUAGAUAACAGAGUGGGUACAUUUGCGUAACUUUAAAGGCCAAUUGGCCUAGAAACCCGAUUUUCUCCAAAUCUAAGAUAUCCGUACUUUUUAAGGCCGUCGCGCCGGAGCCGGAGGAAGCUCUCACCACCAUCACCGGCAGCAAGACCGUCGAUCCUGAGCCCAAUAGCUCCACCGAUUAUCUCGAUCAAUAGAACCCUUGGACUUCUGCACUACCUGAGCUUGACAAUAUGAGGAAAUUGGUGACCAAGGGCAAGGUUCUGGUGCCAAUGGACUGAUGGAGCUCCUAGAGUAUUUCCUGGUGAGGAUGAAGCUUACAGGGUAAUACUUCUACAUCUGCAGCAGUGGGUUAUUUAGUCAUAUUUCUUCUCGUGUCUCCCCAGUGUUUGUUAAGAAGUUCAAUGUUCUAAGAAUAUCUCUUUCUCUUAUUACUAUAUUAAAUACUACUACUAGCUUCUAUCA
Long non-coding RNA from Salvia splendens (bonfire salvia), 911 nucleotides. RefSeq lists it as uncharacterized. The transcript has 3 exons. Lineage: Eukaryota; Viridiplantae; Streptophyta; Magnoliopsida; Lamiales; Lamiaceae. The record is from RefSeq and is a predicted model, not a curated record.